RNAcentral lists this ribosomal RNA (253 nucleotides) under uncultured bacterium. RNAcentral's name for it is "partial 16S ribosomal RNA". It matches the Rfam family "Bacterial small subunit ribosomal RNA", at positions 524 to 776 of the family's 1533-position model. The record is from RNAcentral.
UACGUAGGGUCCAAGCGUUAUCCGGAAUCACUGGGCGUAAAGCGUGCGUAGGUGGAUGUUUAAGUGAGAGGUUAAAUCGUGUGGCUCAACCAUAUCGAUGCCUCUCAUACUGGGCAUCUAGAGGACAGCAGAGGCAAGUGGAACUAGUAGUGUAGCAGUGAAAUGCGUAGAUAUUACUAAGAACACCAAUGGCGAAGGCAGCUCGCUGGGCUACUCCUGACACUGAGGUACGAAAGCGUGGGGAGCGAACAGG